Molecule: long non-coding RNA, 311 nt
Organism: Callorhinchus milii (elephant shark)
Lineage: Eukaryota; Metazoa; Chordata; Chondrichthyes; Chimaeriformes; Callorhinchidae
Exons: 5
Source: RefSeq, a predicted model, not a curated record
UGUUGUAAAGACACAGGGAGCCAAUGGAUAUUAUUCCCAUAACUGGCUGGUUUGGCAGUGAGAUCAAAGGAACAUGAGAGCCUGAGAAAAUAUUCUUCUUCUGCAACUAAAUGUGUAGGCAGCCAACCUGCUCCCAGGCUUCAGUAACAUUGCUCUUGAGCUGGGUGCGAGGAAACUUGCAAAAGUACCACAGAACCAAAGAACUUUACGACACAGAAGGAGGUUUGAAGUGAUUGAUGGUUCCAUCUCUGUAACGCACUCAGUGAUUCCUCUGCAAACCUCAAUAAGAUAAAAUUGAAAGAAAGAAGGAA